UACGAAGGGGGCUAGCGUUGUUCGGAGUUACUGGGCGUAAAGGGCGCGUAGGCGGCGCCUCAAGUCGGGUGUGAAAGCCCACGGCUCAACCGUGGAGGUGCAUUCGAGACUGAGGUGCUUGAGGACGGGAGAGGAUGGUGGAAUUCCCAGUGUAGAGGUGAAAUUCGUAGAUAUUGGGAAGAACACCGGUGGCGAAGGCGGCCAUCUGGACCGUUUCUGACGCUGAGGCGCGAAAGCGUGGGGAUCAAACAGG
RNAcentral lists this ribosomal RNA (253 nucleotides) under uncultured prokaryote. RNAcentral's name for it is "partial 16S ribosomal RNA". It matches the Rfam family "Bacterial small subunit ribosomal RNA", at positions 524 to 776 of the family's 1533-position model. The record is from RNAcentral.